UCGCAAGAUGUCAGCGGCAGACGGGAGAGUAACACGUGGGAACAUGCCCUUCGGUUCGGAAUAACUCAGGGAAACUUGAGCUAAUACCGGAUACGUCCGUAAGGAGAAAGAUUUAUCGCCGAAGGAUUGGCCCGCGUCCGAUUAGCUAGUUGGUGAGGUAACGGCUCACCAAGGCGACGAUCGGUAGCUGGUCUGAGAGGAUGAUCAGCCUCACUGGGACUGAGAUACGGCCCAGACUCCUACGGGAGGCAGCAGUGGGGAAUAUUGGACAAUGGGCGCAAGCCUGAUCCAGCCAUGCCGCGUGGGUGAUGAAGGCCCUAGGG
Molecule: ribosomal RNA, 323 nt
Filed under: uncultured bacterium
Lineage: Bacteria
Description: bacterial SSU rRNA
Rfam family: Bacterial small subunit ribosomal RNA
Source: RNAcentral